Molecule: microRNA precursor, 138 nt
Filed under: Puccinia graminis f. sp. tritici CRL 75-36-700-3
Lineage: Eukaryota; Fungi; Basidiomycota; Pucciniomycetes; Pucciniales; Pucciniaceae
Description: microRNA MIR807
Source: RNAcentral
UCCCUUCCAAUCAAUGAGGUAUAACAAUGUCAUUGACCGGAAGGGAUUCCUUCCUGUCAAUGAGAUGCAACAACCUCAUCAAUUGGGAGGAAUCCCUUCCAAUUGAUGAGGUUGUUAUACCUCAUUGAUCAGAAGGGA